AUCGGAGUAGCUCAAUGGUAGAGCGCAGGGCUUACAUCUCUGGCGUUGCGGGUUCGAUUCCUGCCUCCGGUA
Molecule: transfer RNA, 72 nt
Filed under: Ktedonobacteraceae bacterium
Lineage: Bacteria; Bacillati; Chloroflexota; Ktedonobacteria; Ktedonobacterales; Ktedonobacteraceae
Description: tRNA-Val
Rfam family: tRNA
About the family: Transfer RNA (tRNA) molecules are approximately 80 nucleotides in length.
Source: RNAcentral